This 556-nucleotide long non-coding RNA is filed under the name Ursus maritimus (polar bear). Its description in RNAcentral is "lncRNA (ENSUMAG00000023313.1)". Lineage: Eukaryota; Metazoa; Chordata; Mammalia; Carnivora; Ursidae. The record is from RNAcentral.
CCGGAAAGGAGGGGACACACGGGCACGAAACGCGUCCCCAGAGCCGCUGCACGCGGCAGGACACGGGCACCAGCGCCAGAGCGGGCGAGGGCGGAGAAAGUUAGGAACUGUCUGCUGGUGUGGACGCUGCGGGUUCCUCAGGAGAGAGAGAUGAUCAUUCAGAAGCAGGACUGAGAGCUGGAUACCUGGUCCAUGGUCUACUCGUCACCCUGUGAGGUGGGAAUACUUAUCCUGCUGUCCCGUUUGGAAGGAUUCUGAAUUCAAAAGCUUUGUAAGCUCUCACACUUACUGUGGUGCUGGAUUCCAGGGCGACCCAGUUUUGAAGAAACAAGUUUACAGGUAAGACUUGUUUUAACUCUGUUCUAGAGUGUGUCUUACGCCUAAAUCCUGGAGCACCAGAGAAGUAUCUUGACAAAUAGUGUUACUUGGAAGUCCUUGUCUUUCUGUUGCUUAAGAUUAGUAGGUGAGACUGUCUGUUCACCCCUGUACCCAUUUUUCCAGAUAACAUGUUAUUGGUCUUUUUCUUAUUGAUUUGUAAGAAUUCUUUAUACAUUGG